RNAcentral lists this ribosomal RNA (571 nucleotides) under Bipolaris sp. IOC-1582. Its description in RNAcentral is "eukaryotic LSU rRNA". It matches the Rfam family "Eukaryotic large subunit ribosomal RNA", at positions 62 to 648 of the family's 3401-position model. The record is from RNAcentral. Lineage: Eukaryota; Fungi; Ascomycota; Dothideomycetes; Pleosporales; Pleosporaceae.
AAACCAACAGGGAUUGCCCUAGUAACGGCGAGUGAAGCGGCAACAGCUCAAAUUUGAAAUCUGGCUCUUUUAGAGUCCGAGUUGUAAUUUGCAGAGGGCGCUUUGGCUUUGGCAGCGGUCCAAGUUCCUUGGAACAGGACGUCACAGAGGGUGAGAAUCCCGUACGUGGUCGCUAGCUAUUGCCGUGUAAAGCCCCUUCGACGAGUCGAGUUGUUUGGGAAUGCAGCUCUAAAUGGGAGGUAAAUUUCUUCUAAAGCUAAAUAUUGGCCAGAGACCGAUAGCGCACAAGUAGAGUGAUCGAAAGAUGAAAAGCACUUUGGAAAGAGAGUCAAACAGCACGUGAAAUUGUUGAAAGGGAAGCGCUUGCAGCCAGACUUGCUUGCAGUUGCUCAUCCGGGCUUUUGCCCGGUGCACUCUUCUGCAGGCAGGCCAGCAUCAGUUUGGGCGGUGGGAUAAAGGUCUCUGACACGUUCCUUCCUUCGGGUUGGCCAUAUAGGGGAGACGUCAUACCACCAGCCUGGACUGAGGUCCGCGCAUCUGCUAGGAUGCUGGCGUAAUGGCUGUAAGCGGC